AUCGCCCUACGGGAGGCAGCAGUGGGGAAUAUUGGGCAAUGGGCGCAAGCCUGACCCAGCAAUGCCGCGUGAAGGAAGAAGGCUUUCGGGUUGUAAACUUCUUUUAAGAGGGAAGAGAAGAAGACGGUACCUCUUGAAUAAGCCACGGCUAACUACGUGCUAGCAGCCGCGGUAAUACGUAGGUGGCAAGCGUUGUCCGGAUUUACUGGGUGUAAAGGGCGUGCAGCCGGGCUGACAAGUCAGAUGUGAAAUCCCGCGGCUCAACCGCGGAACUGCAUUUGAACCUGUAAGUCUUGAGUACCGGG
RNAcentral lists this ribosomal RNA (305 nucleotides) under uncultured bacterium. RNAcentral's name for it is "bacterial SSU rRNA". It matches the Rfam family "Bacterial small subunit ribosomal RNA", at positions 333 to 653 of the family's 1533-position model. The record is from RNAcentral.